This is a long non-coding RNA of Sander lucioperca (pikeperch), 217 nucleotides long. RefSeq lists it as uncharacterized. The record is from RefSeq and is a predicted model, not a curated record. NCBI's taxonomy places the organism in Eukaryota, Metazoa, Chordata, Actinopteri, Perciformes, Percidae. The transcript is spliced from 2 exons.
ACGUUCCUGCGCUGACUGCAACAGACGCGGAGGACUUCAUUGGGCAAGUGCUUAAGUUUGCCCCACACAGAUGGCCAGCUGAGAAGGACUGAGCCUUCAAAACCAUGGAGCUCUAUUUAAUUUUUUUUGCGGAAGCAAGAGCUGUUGGCCAUCUUCUACACUACUGCCAUCCUCCUGCCUCGUCCCCUCUGGCAGGCCCUACAGAUCCCUGCACACA